AGUAUUCUAAACUAAACUACUC
Molecule: transfer RNA, 22 nt
Filed under: Naso hexacanthus (sleek unicornfish)
Lineage: Eukaryota; Metazoa; Chordata; Actinopteri; Acanthuriformes; Acanthuridae
Also listed under: 1 other name
Description: partial tRNA-Pro
Source: RNAcentral